This is a non-coding RNA of Motacilla alba alba, 2616 nucleotides long. Lineage: Eukaryota; Metazoa; Chordata; Aves; Passeriformes; Motacillidae. The record is from the annotation of a RefSeq genome assembly.
GAAAGACUAUUCAAGAAAGUUGGCCUGCCAUGGAAGGGGAAGCAAAGGGAUUUGUUUUAGUUCCCUGACAAAGGGAAAGCACCUCAAAUAAAGAAUGGAUGAUGUUUGUGAUUCCAAAAACAGUAACGGUUUCUAAAGUUUGUGCUUAUAGUAAGGCAGCUGCAGUGCAUCCCGUCUCUUAGCUUAUCAUACAUCCCUUUGUCACUGUGACUAGUGAUGAUAUGCGUUUUGGCAGUGGCACAAAACUUACAGUAAUAGGGAAGAAUGAUGAAAUCAUACCUCCAGCGGUGGCCAUCUUUUCCCCAUCAAAGCAGGAGAUCCAGGAGAAGAGCAAGGCCACGCUGGUGUGCCUGGCCUCUGGUUUCUACCCUGACCACCUGACUCUGGUCUGGAGGGUGAAUGGUGUGAAAAGGACCGAAGGGGUGGGGACAGACGAGUCCUCCACACAGAAUGGGAGCACCUACUCCCGGACCAGCCGACUGAGGAUGCCAGCAUGGGAAUGGUUCAACCCUCUGAAUCGCUUCGAGUGUGUUGCCAUUUUUUUUCAGAAUGGAACAACAGCAUCAAUAAACAAAUUUAUCAGUGGUGAUGCUGGUUGUGCACUCACAGAAGAGUCGUACUUGCGGUAUGGAAAUUCCCUGAAGCUCACUUACCUCAUCCUCUGUGGCAAAGCCUUGGUCUAUGCAGUUUUGGUGAGUGGGCUGGUGUGGACGGCCAAGGUAAGUCAGAGUGGCCCUGGAAGGCUGGGCUUACUCACUAAGGAUCAGUGGAUGCAGGCUGAACCUCUUCUCAGAGGUGUGGCUGUUGUGCAGGUGCUCUGCCAGGCUUUGUGCAGCUCAGCUUGAAGAAGCACAAGUGAUGGGUUUUCUCUUACUGUUUUUGCAGAACUCAAAUAAAAUCAGUGCUAUCUAGCAGAGAAAUUCCUUCUCACAAUCCUCUUUAAACACAUGAACAAGAUGAGAAUUAAGGACAAGAUGCCCAGAAAUUAAAUGAGGGAAAUAUCAGAUAUAUCACACAUUUGUGUAACCAUUGUAAAGGGGCUUACACCUGCAGCAAAAAUAAUAAGCAGGUUUUUGAGGUGAUGCAGGGGAUAAAUCUGAUCAAACACAAAUAUUUAUAAUGAAAUGUGGGAUCAAUCCAAACAAAUGCGAUAAAUUCAACUAACUGACAGGAAAUGCUUUUUGUUAGCAAGUUUUUCCUACAGAGGAAACCUCCAUGCAGUGAGAGCAGCAGAAGUGUCAGCACAUGGCACUAUAAAAACAGAACAAGGGGAUUUAUUUGAAAAGUGACCUGGUAGAGUUGAGGGCGAGGAUGCAGACAAUCUGUUAUACUUUUUUUGGUCCUUUUGCAAGCAUAUACUGGAGGGGGUGGAUUUGUACAUUUCUGGAUCAUAGUCAUAGAAUCACAGAUUGGUUUAGGUUAGAAAGACCAUUUAGAGAUUAUCUAGUUCCAUCCCACCCUGAAAUGGGCAGAGAUAUCCUUCAUUAGACUAGGUUGCUGAAAGCCCCAUGCAACCAGACCUCAAAUACUUCCAGGGGUGGAAAGUAUUUGAGCACAGCUCAAGGAGCACAGCGUCUCUGGGAAACCUGUUCCACUGUCUCACCACCCUCACCAGAACAAGUGUCUGCCUUUAAUCUGAAGCUACCCUGUAUCAGUUUAAAUCCAGGGCUCUUCAUCCUGUCACUGCAGGCCUUGGCAAAACAUCUCUGUUUUCCUUAAAAGUCCCCCACUGCUGUAUGUGGGAAGGCCUCAGGCAGGCCUCUCCAGAGGCUUCUCUUCUCCAGUCUCCAGAGGGCUUGUUCUCUCAGCCUGUCUUCAUACCUGAGGCCCUGAGACUGGUUUCUGUGGGCCUCCUUGGGACCUGCUGUGUGGUGGCCAUGAGUUUCCUGUGCUGGGGCCUCCAGAGCUGGACACAGAACUGCAGCUGGGAGUGGUGGGGGUCCACAUGGAACCGCUCUCUAAGUCUGUCCAGGUCCCUGUGGUUGGCAUCCCCUCCCUCAAACACACCGAUGGCCACACAGCUUCGUGUCAUCUCUGAACUUGCUGAGGGUGCACUUGCUCCCAGUGUCAAUGACACACUGAUGAAAGGUGAAAAAAUGCUUUUGGCCCCAGGACAGACCCUUGAGAGAAACUGUUCAUGACUGACUGCCGCUUGAACAUCCAACCAUGGAUGGUAACUCUUUGGGCAAGGUCAUCCAGCCAAUUCCUGUGUUUGUUUCUCUUGUUUGGUGGUUGUUGUUGUUAUCAUUGCUAUUUUAUUGUUCUUCUUAAUUUACUUCAUUUUGUUUUCAAUUAGACUGGUGUCAAGCUAUCAAGAGAAUAAAUGACGAGCCCUUGUCAUCACAUCAGCAGGAACAUGACAAGUUUGCUACCUUUCCACCGCUGAAUAUCUAUGCUUCUACGAACUUCUGAAUAUAAUUUUUUUGUAAUUAUCUGUUGCCAUCCUGUUCAUCACGUUUUUGUAAUCCCUGCUGAGCUUUCCCUGUACUUCCAUAUCAUAAUGUAUCAUAUUUCAUUGUAACAUAUCUUUAAAAGUAGCAUCUUCUUAAUCUUCAGAGGCUGAGAACUCAUCUCCUUGAUUUAGGAAUAAAGUUUUGACUUCUUUUCCCUUGAAAA